GGGUUGUGAGGUUAAGCGACUAAGCGUACACGGUGGAUGCCCUGGCAGUCAGAGGCGAUGAAGGGCGUGCUAAUCUGCGAUAAGCGCCGGUAAGGUGAUAUGAACCGUUAUAACCGGCGAUACCCGAAUGGGGAAACCCAGUGUGAUUCGUCACACUAUCAUUAACUGAAUCCAUAGGUUAAUGAGGCGAACCGGGGGAACUGAAACAUCUAAGUACCCCGAGGAAAAGAAAUCAACCGAGAUUCCCCCAGUAGCGGCGAGCGAACGGGGAGGAGCCCAGAGCCUGAAUCAGCAUGUGUGUUAGUGGAAGCGUCUGGAAAGGCGCGCGAUACAGGGUGACAGCCCCGUACACAAAAGCGCAUGUGCUGUGAGCUCGAUGAGUAGGGCGGGACACGUGGUAUCCUGUCUGAAUAUGGGGGGACCAUCCUCCAAGGCUAAAUACUCCUGACUGACCGAUAGUGAACCAGUACCGUGAGGGAAAGGCGAAAAGAACCCCGGCGAGGGGAGUGAAAAAGAACCUGAAACCGUGUACGUACAAGCAGUGGGAGCACCCUUCGGGGUGUGACUGCGUACCUUUUGUAUAAUGGGUCAGCGACUUAUAUUCUGUAGCAAGGUUAACCGUAUAGGGGAGCCGGAGGGAAACCGAGUCUUAAUUGGGCGUUAAGUUGCAGGGUAUAGACCCGAAACCCGGUGAUCUAGCCAUGGGCAGGUUGAAGGUUGGGUAACACUAACUGGAGGACCGAACCGACUAAUGUUGAAAAAUUAGCGGAUGACCUGUGGCUGGGGGUGAAAGGCCAAUCAAACCGGGAGAUAGCUGGUUCUCCCCGAAAGCUAUUUAGGUAGCGCCUCGUGAAUUCAUCUCCGGGGGUAGAGCACUGUUUCGGCUAGGGGGCCAUCCCGGCUUACCAACCCGAUGCAAACUGCGAAUACCGGAGAAUGUUAUCACGGGAGACACACGGCGGGUGCUAACGUCCGUCGUGAAGAGGGAAACAACCCAGACCGCCAGCUAAGGUCCCAAAGUCAUGGUUAAGUGGGAAACGAUGUGGGAAGGCCCAGACAGCCAGGAUGUUGGCUUAGAAGCAGCCAUCAUUUAAAGAAAGCGUAAUAGCUCACUGGUCGAGUCGGCCUGCGCGGAAGAUGUAACGGGGCUAAACCAUGCACCGAAGCUGCGGCAGCGAACGUAUCACCCAAGACAACUUUACGGAGUUGACGAUUGACGGAGCGAAGCGACGUCAAAGCGUUCAUUAAAGUCGAGUUGGCUUAGGGAUACGUUCGUUGGGUAGGGGAGCGUUCUGUAAGCCUGUGAAGGUGUGUCGUGAGGCAUGCUGGAGGUAUCAGAAGUGCGAAUGCUGACAUAAGUAACGAUAAAGCGGGUGAAAAGCCCGCUCGCCGGAAGACCAAGGGUUCCUGUCCAACGUUAAUCGGGGCAGGGUGAGUCGACCCCUAAGGCGAGGCCGAAAGGCGUAGUCGAUGGGAAACGGGUUAAUAUUCCCGUACUUGGUGUUACUGCGAAGGGGGGACGGAGAAGGCUAUGUUGGCCGGGCGACGGUUGUCCCGGUUUAAGCGUGUAGGUGUGUGUUCCAGGUAAAUCCGGUUCACUUUAACACUGAGGCGUGACGACGAGGCACUACGGUGCUGAAGCAACAAAUGCCCUGCUUCCAGGAAAAGCCUCUAAGCAUCAGGUAACAUCAAAUCGUACCCCAAACCGACACAGGUGGUCAGGUAGAGAAUACCAAGGCGCUUGAGAGAACUCGGGUGAAGGAACUAGGCAAAAUGGUGCCGUAACUUCGGGAGAAGGCACGCUGACACGUAGGUGAAGUGAUUUACUCAUGGAGCUGAAGUCAGUCGAAGAUACCAGCUGGCUGCAACUGUUUAUUAAAAACACAGCACUGUGCAAACACGAAAGUGGACGUAUACGGUGUGACGCCUGCCCGGUGCCGGAAGGUUAAUUGAUGGGGUCAGCGCAAGCGAAGCUCCUGAUCGAAGCCCCGGUAAACGGCGGCCGUAACUAUAACGGUCCUAAGGUAGCGAAAUUCCUUGUCGGGUAAGUUCCGACCUGCACGAAUGGCGUAAUGAUGGCCAGGCUGUCUCCACCCGAGACUCAGUGAAAUUGAACUCGCUGUGAAGAUGCAGUGUACCCGCGGCAAGACGGAAAGACCCCGUGAACCUUUACUAUAGCUUGACACUGAACAUUGAGCCUUGAUGUGUAGGAUAGGUGGGAGGCUUUGAAGUGUGGACGCCAGUCUGCAUGGAGCCGACCUUGAAAUACCACCCUUUAAUGUUUGAUGUUCUAACGUGGACCCGUAAUCCGGGUUGCGGACAGUGUCUGGUGGGUAGUUUGACUGGGGCGGUCUCCUCCUAAAGAGUAACGGAGGAGCACGAAGGUUGGCUAAUCCUGGUCGGACAUCAGGAGGUUAGUGCAAUGGCAUAAGCCAGCUUGACUGCGAGCGUGACGGCGCGAGCAGGUGCGAAAGCAGGUCAUAGUGAUCCGGUGGUUCUGAAUGGAAGGGCCAUCGCUCAACGGAUAAAAGGUACUCCGGGGAUAACAGGCUGAUACCGCCCAAGAGUUCAUAUCGACGGCGGUGUUUGGCACCUCGAUGUCGGCUCAUCACAUCCUGGGGCUGAAGUAGGUCCCAAGGGUAUGGCUGUUCGCCAUUUAAAGUGGUACGCGAGCUGGGUUUAGAACGUCGUGAGACAGUUCGGUCCCUAUCUGCCGUGGGCGCUGGAGAACUGAGGGGGGCUGCUCCUAGUACGAGAGGACCGGAGUGGACGCAUCACUGGUGUUCGGGUUGUCAUGCCAAUGGCACUGCCCGGUAGCUAAAUGCGGAAGAGAUAAGUGCUGAAAGCAUCUAAGCACGAAACUUGCCCCGA
Molecule: ribosomal RNA, 2871 nt
Filed under: Salmonella enterica subsp. enterica serovar Typhimurium
Lineage: Bacteria; Pseudomonadati; Pseudomonadota; Gammaproteobacteria; Enterobacterales; Enterobacteriaceae
Description: partial 23S ribosomal RNA
Rfam family: Bacterial large subunit ribosomal RNA
Source: RNAcentral